GGAGAGGUGGCUGAGUGGUCUAAAGCGCACGCUUGGAGAGCGUGUGGCGAUCGAAAGGUUGCUCGAGAGUUCGAAUCUCUCCCUCUCCGCCA
Molecule: transfer RNA, 92 nt
Filed under: Omnitrophica WOR_2 bacterium RIFCSPHIGHO2_01_FULL_48_9
Lineage: Bacteria; Pseudomonadati; Candidatus Omnitrophota
Also listed under: 1 other name
Description: tRNA-Ser
Rfam family: tRNA
About the family: Transfer RNA (tRNA) molecules are approximately 80 nucleotides in length.
Source: RNAcentral